Molecule: long non-coding RNA, 1137 nt
Filed under: Nicotiana benthamiana
Lineage: Eukaryota; Viridiplantae; Streptophyta; Magnoliopsida; Solanales; Solanaceae
Description: long non-coding RNA (NBEN_LNC041541)
Source: RNAcentral
AUGCCUAUAAAUAGGGAAAGACCUCCUCAUUUGUAGAAUGUACAAAAAAUGUGUGAGCCCAAGUGUGUACCAAAGUGAUCACUUGUGUAAUAAAAAUUAAGAAUUACAAAAGUCUCUCUCCAUGUAGCUACAUAUAUUAAACCUUCCAAACUACCUCCAUUUCUUCAUUUAUCAACUAAACAAAAUCUCUUUCCUUCUUACAUUUAAAGGUCUUCUACUACCUCCAUUUCUUCAUUUAUCAACUAAACAAAAUCUCUUUCCUUCUUACCUUUAAAGGUCUUCUAUCUUUCAAUUGUUCUCCUACAAAUAACAUCGCUGACAUGGACGCUGACAAAGAUGACACUUCAGAAGGAAACCUCGUGGACGUUCAAAAUAGUGUUCUGCUUGAAAAAUCCAGGCCUCAGGAUUCUCUCCACGGAACCGCCCCAAUUCCACUGGCGCAGGUUUGUGAAAGAGUUUUGGUGGCCCCGGGCCCGAGUCUCCAAUUGAAUCAGUGUCAUGGCGAUGCCGCCUCAUGUCCAUUGCUGGAAUUUUGGUUUGGGGUUCCAAUGUUGCUAAUUUUCCAACCACUUCAUGUAACAUUGUUCGGAUUUCAGAAAUAUCCUUCGAAUAUGAAUCCUUCACACCAUUAAUGGAAUCUUCGAGAGUUCUGAUUUUUUUGUUGUCCAUUGAAGACCUCUGGAAGAAAGUACCAAUGAAACAAAUACGAUUUUACAACAAUAGAAUAGUGAGUUUACUGCGUUAACUUGUAAAUUAAACUUACAUUGAAGAUGCUAAACAACUGGAUAUAAUUACCAAUAACACAUAGAAGAAGUAGAAAGGGGUGAGAAGAGAGAACGUUAAUGGAUAUGAGAAUAGCGAAACUGCAAUCACAACUGCCCACCCACUUAGAUCUAUCCCUAGGUAUUUAUAAUUAAUUCACACGAUAAAAUCAUUUAACUUCUUUGAGGGUUGUUUCACACGUGCACUUUGCCUCAACACAUGUUGAACGUCCACAAGGUUUCCUUCUGAAGUGUCAUCUUUGUCACCGUCAAUGUCAGAAGUGUUAUCAAUAAACAGAUGUACAACUAUCUUUAUAUAUUUAUAUUUAACUUGCUUUCCUUUUGUAACCCUAGCUUAGGGACAUUUUGCCUUUAA